GUGCUCAUUUCGACAGCACAUAUACUAAUUGGAACGACACAGAGAAGAUUAGCAUGGCCCCUGCUCAAGGAUGACACACAAAUUCAUGUUGGUGGCUAUAGGAGA
This 105-nucleotide small nuclear RNA is filed under the name Jaculus jaculus (lesser Egyptian jerboa). Lineage: Eukaryota; Metazoa; Chordata; Mammalia; Rodentia; Dipodidae. The record is from RNAcentral.